RNAcentral lists this long non-coding RNA (4133 nucleotides) under Rhinolophus ferrumequinum (greater horseshoe bat). Its description in RNAcentral is "lncRNA (ENSRFEG00010021882.1)". The record is from RNAcentral. Lineage: Eukaryota; Metazoa; Chordata; Mammalia; Chiroptera; Rhinolophidae.
UUAAAAGAAAUUUUCUCUGACUUUGAUGCUAAAUACAGAGGAGCCUUUUGUGAAGCCAAGAUCAAGACAGCAAAAAGGCUUGUCAAAGUCAAGGUAACAUUUAGACAUGAUUCUUCAACGGUGGAAGUUCAGGAUGACCACAUAAAGGGCCCAUUAAAGGUUGGAGCUAUUGUGGAAGUGAAGAAUCUUGAUGGUGCAUAUCAGGAAGCUGUUAUCAAUAAAUUAACAGAUGCGAGUUGGUACACUGUAGUUUUUGAUGAUGGAGAUGAGAAGACACUGAGACGAUCUUCACUGUGCCUAAAGGGAGAGAGGCAUUUUGCUGAAAGUGAAACAUUAGACCAGCUCCCACUCACCAACCCUGAACAUUUUGGCACUCCAGUCAUAGGAAAGAAAACAAAUAGAGGAAGAAGAUCUAAUCAUAUACCAGAGGAAGAGUCUUCUUCAUCCUCCAGUGAUGAAGAUGAGGAUGAUAGGAAACAGAUUGAUGAGCUACUAGGAAAAGUUGUGUGUGUAGAUUAUGUUAGUUUGGAUAAAAAGAAAACACUAUGGUUUCCUGCAUUGGUGGUUUGUCCUGAUUGUAGUGAUGAAAUUGCUGUGAAAAAAGAUAAUAUUCUUGUUCGAUCUUUCAAAGAUGGCAAAUUUACUUCAGUGCCAAGAAAGGAUGUCCAUGAAAUUACUAGUGACACUGCACCAAAGCCUGAUGCUGUAUUAAAACAAGCCUUUGACCAGGCACUUGAAUUUCACAAAAGUAGAACUAUUCCUGCUAACUGGAAGACUGAAUUGAAAGAAGAUAGCUCUAGCAGUGAAGCAGAGGAAGAGGAGGAGGAGGAAGAUGAUGAGAAAGAAAAGGAGGACAAUAGCAGUGAAGAAGAGGAAAAUAAUACUAAUUUUCUUCAGCAGUUGUACAAAUUUAUGGAGGAUAGAGGAACACCAAUUAACAAACGACCUGUGCUUGGAUAUCGAAAUUUGAAUCUCUUUAAGUUAUUCAGACUUGUACACAAACUUGGAGGAUUUGAUAAUAUUGAAAGUGGAGCUGUUUGGAAGCAAGUCUACCAAGAUCUUGGCAUUCCUGUCUUAAAUUCAGCUGCAGGAUACAAUGUUAAGUGUGCUUAUAAAAAAUACUUAUAUGGUUUUGAGGAGUACUGUAGAUCGGCCAAUAUUGAAUUUCAGAUGGCAUUGCCAGAGAAAGUUGUUAACAAACCAUGUAAGGAGUGUGAAAAUGUAAAAGAAAUAAAAGUUAAGGAAGAAAAUGAACCAGAGAUCAAAGAAAUAAAGAUUGAAGAGGAAGAGAAGAUAGUACCAAAAGAAGAAAAGCCUGCUGAAGAUGACAUUGAAAGAAAGGAAAAUAUUAAACCCUCUCUGGGAAGUAAAAAGAAUUUAUUAGAAUCUAUACCUACACAAACUGAUCAGGAAAAAGAAGUGAACAUGAAAAAAACAGAAGAAAAUGAAAAUCUGGAAGAUAAAGAUGAUGUGACAACUGGGGUAGAUGAAUCCCUCAGCAUAAAGGUAGAAGCUGAAGAAGAAAAAGCAAAAUCUGGAGAUGAAACGAAUAAAGAGGAAGAUGAAGAUGAUGAAGAACCAGAAGAGGAGGAGGAGGAGGAGGAAGAAGAGGAUGAAGAUGAUGAUGACGCCAAUGAGGAAGAGGAGUUUGAAUGCUAUCCGCCAGGCAUGAAAGUCCAAGUGCGGUAUGGACGAGGGAAAAAUCAAAAAAUGUAUGAAGCUAGUAUUAAAGAUUCUGAUGUCGAAGGUGGAGAGGUCCUUUACUUGGUGCAUUACUGCGGAUGGAAUGUGAGAUAUGAUGAAUGGAUUAAAGCAGAUAAAAUAGUAAGGCCGGCUGAUAAAAAUGUGCCAAAGAUAAAACAUCGGAAGAAAAUAAAGGUAAGCGCUUAUUUUACAAAUUCAUCUCCUGAAAUGGUAUCUAAGCUGGAUCUUACUGAUGCCAAAAACUCCGAUACAGCUCAUAUUAAAUCCAUAGAAAUUACUUCUAUUCUUAAUGGACUUCAAGCUUCUGAAAGUUCUGCUGAAGACAGUGAGCAGGAGGAUGAGACAGGUACACACGACAUGGACAGCAAUGGCAAAGAGGAGUGUAAGGCUGACCAUUUAACGCACCCCAGGAGUGACCUUUCAAAAGAAGAGCAGAACAGUUCGUCUUUGCUAGAAGAAAACAAGGUCCACGCUGAUUUGGUAAUAUCUAAAACAGCAUCGAAAUCUCCAGAGAGAUUAAGAAAAGAUAUAGAAGGAUUAUCCGAAGAUACUGAUUAUGAAGAAGAUGAAGUCACAAAAAAGAGAAAGGAUGUCAAGAAGGACACCACAGAUAAAUCUUCAAAGCCACAAGUAAAACGUGGUAAAAGAAGAUAUUGCAAUACAGAGGAGUGUUCAAAAAACUGGAUCACCCAGCAAAAAGGACGAGAAGGCCAAGAACAAAGAAUCACUUUCAAGCUGACACCAACUAAGAAAUACAAUAACAGCAGAGCUAAAGAUCGAAAAGAUGUCUGGUCAAGUAUUCAGGGACAGUGGCCUAAAAAAACGCUGAAGGAGCUUUUUUCAGACUCUGACACUGAGGCUGCAGCUUCCCCACCCCACCCUGCCCCAGAGGAGGGCCUGGCAGAGGGGUCACUGCAGACCGUGGCUGAGGAGGAGAGCUGCUCACCCAGCGCCGAGCUAGAAACACCACCACCGGCCAUUGCCGACACGGAAUUUCCAAGUAGUGGCAGUAAUUCAGUGCUAAAUACCCCUCCUACCACCCCCGAAUCGCCUUCCUCCGUCACUGUCACGGAAGCCGGUCGGCAGCAGUCUUCUGUAACCGUAUCAGAAGCGCUGGCCCCAAACCAAGAAGAGGUCCGAAGUAUCAAGAGUGAAACUGAUAGCACAAUCGAGGUGGAUAGUGUUGCAGGGGAGCUCCAAGACCUGCAGUCGGAGGGGAACAGCUCGCCAGCAGGCUUUGACGCGAGUGUGAGCUCCAGCAGUAGUAACCAGCCAGAGCCAGAGCACCCUGAAAAAGCCUGUACAGGUCAGAAAAGAGGGAAAGAAGCUCAGGGAGGAGGAAGUGCAUCCAAAAAGCAGAAACGAAGCCAUAAAGCAACAGUGGUAAACAACAAAAAGAAGGGAAAAGGCACGAAUAGUAGUGAUAGUGAAGAACUUUCUGCUGGUGAAAGUGUAACUAAGACUCAGCCAGUCAAAUCAGUUUCUACUGGGAUGAAGUCGCAUAGUACCAAGUCUCCUGCAAGGACGCAGUCUCCAGGAAAAUGUGGGAAGAAUGGUGAUAAGGAUCCUGAUCUCAAGGAACCCAGUAAUCGAUUACCCAAAGUUUACAAAUGGAGUUUUCAGAUGUCGGACCUAGAAAAUAUGACAAGUGCUGAACGCAUCACAAUUCUUCAAGAAAAACUGCAAGAAAUCAGAAAACAUUAUCUGUCAUUAAAAUCUGAAGUAGCUUCCAUUGAUCGGAGGAGAAAGCGUUUAAAGAAGAAAGAGAGAGAAAGUGCUGCUACAUCCUCCUCCUCUUCUUCACCUUCAUCCAGUUCCAUAACAGCUGCUGUUAUGUUAACUUUAGCUGAACCAUCAAUGUCCAGCUCAUCACAAAAUGGAAUGUCAGUUGAGUGCAGGUGACAGCAGGACUUGCUAAAGCACUUUGCACUUAAUGGCUGUUGAGGGCCACGUCUUUUUUAUACUGCACAGUGGCACAAAAAAAAAAAAUCAGACAAGCACUAUUUUAUAUUUAAAAAUUGUUUCUUGACAAGCUGACUUGGCACUUAAGUGCACUUUUUUUAUGAAGAAAAAGUACAAUGAACUGCUUUUCCUCAAGCAAUAAUUGUUUCCAACUUGUCUGGGAAUUGUGUGUCUGGUAACUUGAAGGCCUUCCACUGUGGCAAAUGGAGGCUUUUCACUGCCUGUAGAGACAAUACAGUAAGCAUAGUUAUUGGGUUGGCCAGAACAUGGUAAGAUAACUUACUGUAUAUGUAUUCCCUUGUAUUUUGUUAAAGCUGGAGCAUUUGAUAUUUUUCCAUUUAUUUAUGAAAAAAUAUGAACCUAUUUUCAUUUGUACAAGCUAAUUGUUUUUUAAAGCAAGUCACCUUUGGGUGGCUUUAAUUGUAUAAGUCAAGCACAUGUAAUAAAUUCAAAACCUGCAGUUAACA